Molecule: long non-coding RNA, 687 nt
Organism: Epinephelus fuscoguttatus (brown-marbled grouper)
Lineage: Eukaryota; Metazoa; Chordata; Actinopteri; Perciformes; Serranidae
Exons: 3
Source: RefSeq, a predicted model, not a curated record
UAAAAAAACGCCCAGGUUCAGCACAAACGCAGCUAUGUGUUGGUUAAAAAAACGCCCAGGUUCAGCACAAAUGCAGCUAUGUGUUGGUUAAAAAAAACUCCCAGGUUUGGCACAAACGCAGCUAUGUGUUGGUUAAAAAAACGCCCAGGUUUGGCACAAACACAGCUAUGUGUUGGUUAAAAAAACUCCCAGUUUCAGCACAAACGCAGCUAUGUGUUGGUAAAAAAAACUCCCAGGUUCAGCACAAACGCAGCUAUGUGUUGGUUAAAAAAACUCCCAGGUUCAGCACAAACGCAGCUAUGUGUUGGUUAAAAAAACGCCCAGGUUCGGCACAAACACAGCUAUGUGUUGGUUAAAAAAAAUGCUCAGGUUCAGCACAAACACAGCUAUGUGUUGGUUAAAAAAAUGCCCAGGUUCAGCACAAACGCAGCUAUGUGUUGGUUAAAAAAAUGCCCAGGUUCAGCACAAACGCAGCUAUGUGUUGGUUAAAAAACUCCCAGGUUCGGCACAAACACAGCUAUGUGUUGGUAAAAAAAAUGCCCAGGUUCAGCACAAACGCAGCUAUGUGUUGGUUAAAAAACUCCCAGGUUCGGCACAAACACAGCUAUGUGUUGGUAAAAAAAAUGCCCAGGUUCAGCACAAACGCAGCUAUGUGUUGGUUAAAAAAACUCCCAGUUUCAGCACAAA